AAGGUUCUAGCAGUGGGGAAAGACUGUGGCAGUUGGGAAGUGGUAGGAAGAUGCUCUCAAAGCUCCCUGCAGCUAAUGACUUUUCCUGAUGCCUCCCAUCCCCAAUACUUGUGUGGUUC
This 119-nucleotide microRNA precursor is filed under the name Pelodiscus sinensis (Chinese soft-shelled turtle). Its description in RNAcentral is "miRNA (ENSPSIG00000019684.1)". The record is from RNAcentral. Lineage: Eukaryota; Metazoa; Chordata; Testudines; Trionychidae.